RNAcentral lists this ribosomal RNA (254 nucleotides) under uncultured bacterium. Its description in RNAcentral is "partial 16S ribosomal RNA". It matches the Rfam family "Bacterial small subunit ribosomal RNA", at positions 524 to 776 of the family's 1533-position model. The record is from RNAcentral.
UACGUAGGGGGCGAGCGUUGUCCGGAUUUAUUGGGCGUAAAGAGCUCGUAGGCGGUUUGGUAAGUCGGGUGUGAAAUCUCCACGCUCAACGUGGAGGGGCCACUCGAUACUGCCAUGACUCGAGUCCGGUAGAGGAGUGUGGAAUUCCCGGUGUAGCGGUGAAAUGCGCAGAUAUCAGGAGGAACACCGGUGGCGAAGGCGGAUCUCUGGGCCGUAACUAACGCUGAGGAGCGAAAGCAUGGGGAGCGAACAGG